AUACGGAGGGUGCGAGCGUUGUUCGGAAUUACUGGGCGUAAAGGGCGCGUAGGCGGCACUGUAAGUCAGAUGUGAAAGUCCAGGGCUUAACCCUGGAAGUGCAUCUGAUACUGCAGAGCUUGAGUAUCGGAGGGGAAAGUAGAAUUCCUGGUGUAGGAGUGAAAUCCGUAGAUAUCAGGAGGAACACCGGUGGCGAAGGCGGCUGCCUGGACCGAUAUUGACGCUGAGACGCGAAAGCGUGGGUAGC
Molecule: ribosomal RNA, 247 nt
Filed under: uncultured bacterium
Lineage: Bacteria
Description: partial 16S ribosomal RNA
Rfam family: Bacterial small subunit ribosomal RNA
Source: RNAcentral